Molecule: long non-coding RNA, 299 nt
Filed under: Anser brachyrhynchus (Pink-footed goose)
Lineage: Eukaryota; Metazoa; Chordata; Aves; Anseriformes; Anatidae
Description: lncRNA (ENSABRG00000014897.1)
Source: RNAcentral
CUAAAGAGGCCACAAGGGUCUGAAUCACUCAGAUCAAAUUUGCCUGCCAAGAUGGAGCUUGGAGCAUAGGAGUUUUAUCAGGAGGUGAAGAAAGGCUCCAGGAUUGAUGAGAAGAGCGAUGGAUUUGAGCUGCUCGGAGAUACAACAAGAGUAAGAAGAAGAGCAGAAAUAAGUUAUUUUCAAAAAAAGAAAAAUUCCUGAAGCUUCACAUACUUGUCUUCCUUCCAAAGAGCCCUCUGACCCAGGCAAGGGUUUCUGAAAUCCUUAAUCAUUUUCUGCUCACUGAAAAUCCUCACUGA